This 994-nucleotide ribosomal RNA is filed under the name Mycoplasma sp. N_2. RNAcentral describes it as "bacterial SSU rRNA". It matches the Rfam family "Bacterial small subunit ribosomal RNA", at positions 430 to 1428 of the family's 1533-position model. The record is from RNAcentral. Lineage: Bacteria; Bacillati; Mycoplasmatota; Mollicutes; Mycoplasmatales; Mycoplasmataceae.
CUGCUGUUAUACAGAAAGAAAAGAUAUAGGAGUGGAAAGCCUAUAUUAUGACGGUACUGUAUCAGAAAGUGACGGCAAACUAUGUGCCAGCAGCCGCGGUAAUACAUAGGUCACAAGCGUUAUCCGAAAUUAUUGGGCGUAAAGCGUCCGUAGGUUGUUUGUUAAGUCUGGAGUUAAAGACCGGUGCUCAACGCCGGCACGCUUUAGAUACUGGCAAACUAGAGUUAUAAAGAGGUAAGUGGAAUUUCAUGUGAAGCGGUGGAAUGCGUAGAUAUAUGAAAGAACACCAAUGGCGAAGGCAGCUUACUGGUUAUAUACUGACACUGAGGGACGAAAGCGUGGGGAGCAAACAGGAUUAGAUACCCUGGUAGUCCACGCCGUAAACGAUGAUCAUUAGUUGGUGGGGGAACCCUCGCUAACGCAGCUAACGCAUUAAAUGAUCCGCCUGAGUAGUAUGCUCGCAAGAGUGAAACUUAAAGGAAUUGACGGGGACCCGCACAAGCGGUGGAGCAUGUGGUUUAAUUUGACGAUACGCGUAGAACCUUACCCACUCUUGACAUCCCUUGCAAAGCUAUAGAGAUAUAGUGGAGAUUAACAAGGUGACAGAUGGUGCAUGGUUGUCGUCAGCUCGUGUCGUGAGAUGUUCGGUUAAGUCCUGCAACGAGCGCAACCCCUAUCCUUAUUUACUAACAUUAAGUUGAGAACUAUACGGAUACUGCUCAGGUAACUGGGAGGAAGGUGGGGAUGACGUCAAAUCAUCAUGCCUCUUACGAGUGGGGCAACACACGUGCUACAAUGGCCGGUACAAAGAGACGCAAUAUGGUGACAUGGAGCAAAUCUGAAAAACCGGUCUCAGUUCGGAUUGAAGGCUGCAAUUCGCCUUCAUGAAGUCGGAAUCGCUAGUAAUCGUAGAUCAGCUACGCUACGGUGAAUACGUUCUCGGGUCUUGUACACACCGCCCGUCACACCAUGGGAGCCGGUAAUGCCCAAAGUC